Molecule: small RNA, 138 nt
Filed under: Paenibacillus sp. CECT 9249
Lineage: Bacteria; Bacillati; Bacillota; Bacilli; Caryophanales; Paenibacillaceae
Description: ydaO-yuaA
Rfam family: c-di-AMP riboswitch aptamer (ydaO/yuaA leader)
About the family: This family represents a conserved RNA structure found upstream of the ydaO and yuaA genes in Bacillus subtilis and related genes in other bacteria. The ydaO/yuaA element is thought to act as a genetic "off" switch for the ydaO and yuaA genes in its native state.
Source: RNAcentral
UACAUAAUAUUGCCCAAUUCCUAUCGCACCGGGAAACGGGGGAACCAUUUCGGGUGAAUUGAUCUCGUUGCAGAGUGAUCAUAGGGAACCUUCUACCGAACCCUUGAGCUAACCUCGUCGGCAUUGGAAGGAGUAUUU